CCUACGGGGGGCUGCAGUGGGGAAUAUUGGACAAUGGGCGAAAGCCUGAUCCAGCCAUGCCGCGUGUGUGAAGAAGGCCUUCGGGUUGUAAAGCACUUUCAGUGGGGAAGAAAGCCUUGGGGCUAAUACCCUCGAGGAAGGACAUCACCCACAGAAGAAGCACCGGCUAACUCCGUGCCAGCAGCCGCGGUAAUACGGGAGGGUGCGAGCGUUAAUCGGAAUUACUGGGCGUAAAGCGCGCGUAGGCGGUCUGAUAAGCCGGUUGUGAAAGCCCCGGGCUCAACCUGGGAACGGCAUCCGGAACUGUCAGGCUAGAGUGCAGGAGAGGAAGGUAGAAUUCCCGGUGUAGCGGUGAAAUGCGUAGAGAUCGGGAGGAAUACCAGUGGCGAAGGCGGUCUUCUGGACUGACACUGACGCUGAGGUGCGAAAGCGUGGGUAGCAAACAGGAUUAGAUACCCCAGUAGUC
This 466-nucleotide ribosomal RNA is filed under the name Vreelandella stevensii. RNAcentral describes it as "partial 16S ribosomal RNA". It matches the Rfam family "Bacterial small subunit ribosomal RNA", at positions 338 to 795 of the family's 1533-position model. Lineage: Bacteria; Pseudomonadati; Pseudomonadota; Gammaproteobacteria; Oceanospirillales; Halomonadaceae. The record is from RNAcentral.